UGGGGAAUAUUGGACAAUGGGGGAAACCCUGAUCCAGCGACGCCGCGUGUGUGAAGAAGGCCUGCGGGUUGUAAAGCACUUUCGGUGGGAACGAAAUAUGCCGGGCUAAUACCCCGGUAGGCUGACGUUACUCAAUGAAGAAGCACCGGCUAACUCUGUGCCAGCAGCCGCGGUAAUACAGAGGGUGCGAGCGUUAAUCGGAAUUACUGGGCGUAAAGCGCACGUAGGUGGCGACGUAAGUCGGGUGUGAAAGCCCCGGGCUCAACCUGGGAACUGCAUUCGAGACUGCAUUGCUGGAGUACGGAAGAGGAGGGCGGAAUUCCCGGUGUAGCGGUGAAAUGCGUAGAUAUCGGGAGGAACAUCAGUGGCGAAGGCGGCCCUCUGGUCCAGUACUGACACUCAAGUGCGAAAGCGUGGGGAGCAAACAGGAUUAGAUACCCAAGUAGUCCCUGAGCGGGCUGGCAAGGCGCAU
RNAcentral lists this ribosomal RNA (472 nucleotides) under uncultured bacterium. RNAcentral's name for it is "bacterial SSU rRNA". It matches the Rfam family "Bacterial small subunit ribosomal RNA", at positions 355 to 825 of the family's 1533-position model. The record is from RNAcentral.